CCUACGGGUGGCAGCAGUGAGGAAUAUUGGUCAAUGGACGAGAGUCUGAACCAGCCAAGUAGCGUGAAGGAUGAAUGCCCUAUGGGUUGUACACUUCUGUUAUAUGGGAAUAAAAUGUUCCACGUGUGGGAUUUUGUAUGUACCAUAUGAAUAAGGAUCGGAUAACUCCGUGACAGCAGCCGUGGUAAUACGGAGGCUCCGAGCGUUAUCCGGAUGUAUUGGGUUGAAAGGGGGCGUAGGUGGAUUGUUAAGUCAGUUGUGAAAGUUUGCGGCUCAACCGUAAAAUUGCAGUUGAAACUGGCAGUCUUGAGUACAGUAGAGGUGGGCGGAAUUCGUGGUGUAGCGGUGAAAUGCUUAGAUAUCACGAAGAACUCCGAUGGCGAAGGCAGUUCACUGGACUGCAACUGACACUGAGGCUCGAAAGUGUGGGUAUCAAACAGGAUUAGAUACCCGAGUAGUC
Molecule: ribosomal RNA, 460 nt
Filed under: uncultured bacterium
Lineage: Bacteria
Description: partial 16S ribosomal RNA
Rfam family: Bacterial small subunit ribosomal RNA
Source: RNAcentral